RNAcentral lists this ribosomal RNA (403 nucleotides) under Fusobacteriota bacterium. Its description in RNAcentral is "Fusobacteria bacterium partial 16S ribosomal RNA". It matches the Rfam family "Bacterial small subunit ribosomal RNA", at positions 355 to 776 of the family's 1533-position model. The record is from RNAcentral. Lineage: Bacteria; Fusobacteriati; Fusobacteriota.
UGGGGAAUAUUGCACAAUGGAGGGAACUCUGAUGCAGCGACGCCGCGUGAACGAAGAAGGCUUUCGAGUCGUAAAGUUCUUUUAUAUGGGAAGAUAAUGACGGUACCAUAAGAAAAAGCCCCGGCUAACUACGUGCCAGCAGCCGCGGUAAUACGUAGGGGGCUAGCGUUGUCCGGAAUCACUGGGCGUAAAGGGUUCGCAGGCGGAAAUGCAAGUCAGGUGUAAAAGGCAGUAGCUUAACUACUGUAAGCAUUUGAAACUGCAUAUCUUGAGAAGAGUAGAGGUAAGUGGAAUUUUUCGUGUAGCGGUGAAAUGCGUAGCUAUUAAAAAGAAUACCGGUGGCGAAGGCGACUUACUGGGCUCAUUCUGACGCUGAGGAACGAAAGCGUGGGUAGCAAACAGG